CCCUUAGAUGUCCUGGGCCGCACGCGCGCUACACUGAGUGUCUGAGAUACGAGUCUGCCUGGUCCGGCAAGGUCUAGGUAAUCGCUAAAAGACACAUCAUGCUUGGGAUAGAUUAUUGCAAAUAUUAAUCUUGAACGAGGAAUUCCUAGUAAGCGCAAGUCAACAGCUUGCGUUGAUUACGUCCCUGCCCUUUGUACACACCGCCCGUCGCUACUACUGAUUGGAUGUUUAAGCGAGGUUCUCGAACUGCUAGCGACUUAGCUUCGGUGAGGUCGCAGUGUGGGAAGUGAACCUAGCUUUGUUGUCUAGAGGAAGUAAAAGUCGUAACA
Molecule: ribosomal RNA, 329 nt
Filed under: uncultured eukaryote
Lineage: Eukaryota
Description: partial 18S ribosomal RNA
Rfam family: Eukaryotic small subunit ribosomal RNA
Source: RNAcentral